Spinacia oleracea (spinach) is the source of this 732-nucleotide long non-coding RNA. RefSeq lists it as uncharacterized. The transcript is spliced from 2 exons. The record is from RefSeq and is a predicted model, not a curated record. Lineage: Eukaryota; Viridiplantae; Streptophyta; Magnoliopsida; Caryophyllales; Amaranthaceae.
UACCCCCCUUUUUUGUGUAAAUUUUUUUUCUUCUUUUAUUUACUAUAAUGUGCAAUUGGGCUUGCUUGCGAAGAUAGUUAACUUGUUAUGCUUUUGGAUACUCUUUUAUUUGGGGGAGUUGGGGUGAUACUAAAUGGAAGGCCUUGCUGAAAUUUCUUGAAAGGAAUCUUAGAAGACAUGGUUGACUGGACCGACUAUUCUGUUGAUAAGCUUUGGUCAAGGCCCUUAUUUGGCUGACUCUGGCACUAAUGGUUGAGGAUAUGACUGGAUCAAUGUUUGCAAAACGGAAUCCCAACUGCCUAAAUAUAAUCCUUGCUAGAUAGAAAUGAUGGGGUAUCAGGACUUUUGGUCUCACAUCGAAAUGUUAAGAUUUUGAUACUUUGAUUAGGGGAAAAGACGAACAACGUGCUGCAGAAUAAAGAGGCCCCAGUUGGUGCUUCACUACUUUUGAGCCUCGAUAAAUGACAGGAGGUUAUGUUGUUUUUAUGACCUGGCCUUUCGUUUCUUGAUUUCGAGUUUAUAGAUCUCUUUUACUAGGUUUUAUAUUGACUGUCAUAGAAGAAUAAGAUCACACCGGCAAUAAGAACCUCUUUCUGGUCCAACUCCUCUUCCUUUUACUAGGUCUAUUAUUUGUGCCACUGACUAAGACAUUUCAUCAGGAGCCGAAUCUGAGCUGAGAGAUGAACAAUUUGUUCAAAACCUUUCUUUUCUUUCGAGGCAUACUCUUUCUCG